RNAcentral lists this ribosomal RNA (253 nucleotides) under uncultured bacterium. RNAcentral describes it as "partial 16S ribosomal RNA". It matches the Rfam family "Bacterial small subunit ribosomal RNA", at positions 524 to 776 of the family's 1533-position model. The record is from RNAcentral.
UACGAAGGUCCCAAGCGUUAUCCGGAUUUAUUGGGUUUAAAGGGUGCGUAGGCGGGCUAUUAAGUCAGUGGUGAAAGCCCCAAGCUUAACUUGGGAACUGCCAUUGAUACUGAUGGUCUUGAGUACAUUUGAGGUGGGCGGAAUGUGUCAUGUAGCGGUGAAAUGCUUAGAUAUGACACAGAACACCGAUUGCGAAGGCAGCUCACUAAACUGGCACUGACGCUGAUGCACGAAAGCGUGGGGAGCGAACAGG